AUGGCCAUCCUAGAGCUAUUUAGUGAUGUGGCGGGCCUCAAGAUAAACCCGUAGAAAAGGUUUGUUGUCGUGGUUAGAUGUGAGGGCUUAGACAUGCAGGAUGUGCUCGACGAUUUUAGAGGUAGAAUUGUAAACUUCCCAAUGACAUAUCUAGGCCUGCCGAUCACCAUCUCUAGGCUACGCUUGGUACAUCUCCGAUUCAUACUAGAUCAAAUUCGAGCCCGUCUUUUGGGGCGGAAGGGGCGUCUACUGUCCAUGGCCGGCAGAAGGCUGCUUGUUUGGAGUGUGCUGGCCGCCGUGCCAACGUACGCGCUCACCAUGCUCAGAGUGCCGAUCAAGUUCUUCAAGGAAAUCGACAAGGUCUGCAGUUGCAUCCUUUGGGCGGGUGACCUAGAGCUCAUCGGCGGCCACUUUAAGGUGAAUUGGACAUAG
This 432-nucleotide ribosomal RNA is filed under the name Triticum aestivum (bread wheat). RNAcentral describes it as "partial small subunit ribosomal RNA". The record is from RNAcentral. Lineage: Eukaryota; Viridiplantae; Streptophyta; Magnoliopsida; Poales; Poaceae.